This 623-nucleotide long non-coding RNA is filed under the name Phoenix dactylifera (date palm). RNAcentral's name for it is "long non-coding RNA (PDAC_LNC002661)". Lineage: Eukaryota; Viridiplantae; Streptophyta; Magnoliopsida; Arecales; Arecaceae. The record is from RNAcentral.
GGCUGGCUAUUUUGGGUGAAGUCCUGGGUUAUUGCAACAAAGCAUACUUCUUAGUAGACCAACAUUUGGUGAUACAAAAGGAGUCCUUUAUCUUACUUCAAUUUUCAAAGAUGAUGUUAUCAUUAUCAUGCUCAAAAGUCCACCAACCAUUGCUCAAAUCUAAAUACCUUAUGGUGCUGUAGGAUUUUGGCCCUACAUCCUUGAGCUAGGAAUAACAGCAUUAUGCAUCUCUCCGCAUUAAGAAUACUCUGCAAAUUCCAUUAUAGAAAAUUCCUAAGGUAAAUAGCAUGUCUUUAUCAGUCUUCCGUAAUGAGCCUUGGAUCAAUCUUCUCUGUUGUGUCUCGUCAAAUUCAUUCUAUGCAAAUUCUAUACUUGGGUGCAUGUGUGGCAAAUUUUUAUUGGAUGCGCGACUCUGGCUAACAUUUGAUUCACUAUUAAGCUUGGUUGAAAACAGGUAUCCCUAGCUACUCUCCACCGAAGAAAAAUGAAAAAAAAUUCUCACAGUAAUUCUUUGUACGUAAUAAUUUUUUUAAUUUCUUUAGAUAAUUUAUCAAGAUAAUAGAUUUAAAGUUCUGCAAGUGAGAAUCUAACCCAGUUUAUUAGUAUCCAAAUCCCAGUGUCAU